GACGAACGCUGGCGGCGUGCCUAAUACAUGCAAGUUGAGCGCUGAAGGUUGGUACUUGUACCGACUGGAUGAGCAGCGAACGGGCGAGUAACGCGUGGGGAAUCUGCCUUUGAGCGGGGGACAACAUUUGGAAACGAAUGCUAAUACCGCAUAAAAACUUUAAACACAAGUUUUAAGUUUGAAAGAUGCAAUUGCAUCACUCAAAGAUGAUCCCGCGUUGUAUUAGCUAGUUGGUGAGGUAAAGGCUCACCAAGGCGAUGAUACAUAGCCGACCUGAGAGGGUGAUCGGCCACAUUGGGACUGAGACACGGCCCAAACUCCUACGGGAGGCAGCAGUAGGGAAUCUUCGGCAAUGGACGAAAGUCUGACCGAGCAACGCCGCGUGAGUGAAGAAGGUUUUCGGAUCGUAAAACUCUGUUGGUAGAGAAGAACGUUGGUGAGAGUGGAAAGCUCAUCAAGUGACGGUAACUACCCAGAAAGGGACGGCUAACUACGUG
RNAcentral lists this ribosomal RNA (497 nucleotides) under uncultured bacterium. RNAcentral's name for it is "partial 16S ribosomal RNA". It matches the Rfam family "Bacterial small subunit ribosomal RNA", at positions 28 to 507 of the family's 1533-position model. The record is from RNAcentral.